Molecule: long non-coding RNA, 848 nt
Filed under: Parus major (Great Tit)
Lineage: Eukaryota; Metazoa; Chordata; Aves; Passeriformes; Paridae
Description: lncRNA (ENSPMJG00000000934.1)
Source: RNAcentral
UGGAAUGUCUCUUUUUGGAUCUUCUUGGCCUAAGCUGGACUGGGAAGAGCUGAAAAGCUUUUUUUCUGGAACAGCUGAUUGUGAGUUUUUUUCUGCAGCUUGCAAAUCAAAAGUACAGAUAAAUGAAGGCAAACAUCCCAGUGGUGGCCUGUUUGAGACCUGCCUGCAUCAAGUCUUUGAGAGGUGUGUUGUUUACCACUGGCACAUUCACUGAGGCAAACUACAGCUGUGUUUUCCCUUUUACAAAGGUACCUCUCCAGCACACUUUUUUUUUUUUUUAUGUCAACAUCUUCUCUUGUCCUUUAAAAAAAACCCCAAACCAUUUGGGUCUUUGUUUUUACAGAAAAAAACAAACUUGAAGAUGGAAUAUUUGAAAUUCCCAUGAGGCAAAUGUGAAAGAGAAACUCUUAUUUUGCAAAUCUGCCUAUGUUGCAUGAGCCAAUCCACAUUUUUUGAUGAGUGGAGUUGCCAGCAAUGCAUGCCAGGAAAAAGGCCUCAGUAAAGGAGCUCCAUCAACAAAAAAGUCCCGGGAAGGCAUCCACCAGAGGGAGUUCCAUGAAUGCAUCAAACCCAGCCGGAGCUAUAAAUGAUUAUACAGCGGCUGAGAAGAGCCGCCUGUGCACUCCCCGGGACAGACAAGCUGCUCCCCGCAGCUGCUGGUCAGGAGCCUGGGCUGAAUUCAGCAAAGUACUGACCCAAAUCUGCAUAAUCUUAAGUGAAUACUCAGUGAACUCUAAGGAAUUGCUCUGUGCCUGGCAUUAAGCGAGUGUUUUAUUAGAGCGGGGUCAAAAUACUCAGUGCUUUGCAGGAUCAUAUGAGGAAAAGAAAAGACUCUGUUUACACCUCGG